This 380-nucleotide RNase P RNA is filed under the name Halalkalibacter hemicellulosilyticusJCM 9152. Its description in RNAcentral is "Bacillus hemicellulosilyticus JCM 9152 Bacterial RNase P class B". It matches the Rfam family "Bacterial RNase P class B". From Rfam's summary of the family: Ribonuclease P (RNase P) is a ubiquitous endoribonuclease, found in archaea, bacteria and eukarya as well as chloroplasts and mitochondria. Lineage: Bacteria; Bacillati; Bacillota; Bacilli; Caryophanales; Bacillaceae. The record is from Rfam by way of RNAcentral.
GCAUUCAGGUAAUCGCUGCAUAUUUAUAUGUAGAGGAAAGUCCAUGCUCGCACGAGCUGCGAUGCUCGUAGUGUUCGUGCCUAGCGAAGUCAUAAGCUAGGGUAGUCUUUAUAAGACUAACGGCAAGGGAAGCACCUAAGUCAGCUGAUAUGGUGUGAUACCUUUGAAAGUGCCACAGUGACGUAGUCCAGCUGGAAACAGGUGGAGUGGAACGCGGUAAACCCCUCGAGCGAGAAACCCAAAAUUGGUAGGGGCAUCUUCUCAAUCGGAAAUGAACGAAAGAGAAGAACAAGGGAAUCCUUUGUAGAUAGAUGAUUGCCACCGGAGUACGAGGUUCAUCACCGUUUGUAGUACAAUGGAACAGAACAUGGCUUAUCGAA